UGUAGCACUGUGGCUGCGUCGCCAGGCUCAGACACGGGGUGCAAAAUGAUUGGUGGCCCAAUGUGCCUCAACUCAGAGAUGAUCCAGAUUCCACCAUCACGUCUUGGGUUCAUUCUCUGCAUGAGCGGGUAGCCCAAUGGCUAGAGAGUUUGAUAGGCGGCCUGGGGCCUGCGUGCCCUUUGCUUGUUUGAAGUACAACACUGGACCCAGAAAUCCCUGGCUUCGAUAUUGGGUAUGCAGUGGUUUAGCAUCAGGCUGGUGUGAUAAUUUGGCUUUAGGAGAUCUGGGCUUUGGGUCAUGAAUAUAACACAUCAGGCCACGGGUAUUGUGGGAGUGGGUCUCAGCCUCUCCCUGUGCCUUUCUCUCUAGAUAUCGCCACCUCCUCCUUCCUCCUGCUCCACCUGAGCCUCUGCUUCCUCUGCGGAGAACCUUGUGCCCAGGAAUCCACCUAAAUCCAGGAGACACCAGACACAUGGAUGCUGCCUGAAACAGGGUAAUGCAUAUAAAGCCUGGGUCAUCCAUGGAAUCAAGCUGGGACCCAGGGCUGAAGGGUGCUGGUUGAUUUGGGGCCUGCUCUCGUGACUUACAAAAUGGAGCGGUUUAUUUCAGGGUGUGGGGUGGUCGUGUAUGGGGUGAGGGUCUUAGCCGAAUGUGACAGUGUGCCUGACAGGGAGAGGAGCAAGGACACCAUGCAGACAAUAGGCCUGGGCCAGCGCAGACCAGACUUUUGCUGUGGGAGGCAGAGGAAGGGCCGAGAGUUGCUGUUAGAGCACAGGUCCACCAGAGGGCGCCAGAGCCCAGCAGAGCCCCCUGCAGCUCCCUGUUUGCGCGUCCAGGCUCAGUGGGGAGUGGAGAUGGACGCAUGGAACCUCAAGGAGGUGCCCAGAGCCUGGUGUGUUUGUUCAGGGUGCCUCUGACCCAGUGGCCCAGAUAGCCUCAACUCAAACGAGGGGACAGUGUUGUGCUACCGCGUGUCUAAUUCAAUUCCUGUCUGGUCGGGUGGCCCCAAGAUGAGGGAGAGAGACAGGCUGUCUGUGGUCUGAGUGUCCUUUGCUUGUUGGCAGGCAGACCUCUGGACCCAGAAACACCUGGCUUGAAUACUGGAGAUAUCGCCACCUCCUCCUUCCUCCUGCUCCACCUGAGCCUCUGCUUCCUCUGCGGAGAACCUUGUGCCCAGGAAUCCACCUAAAUCCAGGAGACACCAGACACAUGGAUGCUGCCUGAAACAGGGUAAUGCAUAUAAAGCCUGGGUCAUCCAUGGAAUCAAGCUGGGACCCAGGGCUGAAGGGUGCUGGUUGAUUUGGGGCCUGCUCUCGUGACUUACAAAAUGGAGCGGUUUAUUUCAGGGUGUGGGGUGGUCGUGUAUGGGGUGAGGGUCUUAGCCGAAUGUGACAGUGUGCCUGACAGGGAGAGGAGCAAGGACACCAUGCAGACAAUAGGCCUGGGCCAGCGCAGACCAGACUUUUGCUGUGGGAGGCAGAGGAAGGGCCGAGAGUUGCUGUUAGAGCACAGGUCCACCAGAGGGCGCCAGAGCCCAGCAGAGCCCCCUGCAGCUCCCUGUUUGCGCGUCCAGGCUCAGUGGGGAGUGGAGAUGGACGCAUGGAACCUCAAGGAGGUGCCCAGAGCCUGGUGUGUUUGUUCAGGGUGCCUCUGACCCAGUGGCCCAGAUAGCCUCAACUCAAACGAGGGGACAGUGUUGUGCUACCGCGUGUCUAAUUCAAUUCCUGUCUGGUCGGGUGGCCCCAAGAUGAGGGAGAGAGACAGGCUGUCUGUGGUCUGAGUGUCCUUUGCUUGUUGGCAGGCAGACCUCUGGACCCAGAAACACCUGGCUUGAAUACUGGAGAUAUCGCCACCUCCUCCUUCCUCCUGCUCCACCUGAGCCUCUGCUUCCUCUGCGGAGAACCUUGUGCCCAGGAAUCCACCUAAAUCCAGGAGACACCAGACACAUGGAUGCUGCCUGAAACAGGGUAAUGCAUAUAAAGCCUGGGUCAUCCAUGGAAUCAAGCUGGGACCCAGGGCUGAAGGGUGCUGGUUGAUUUGGGGCCUGCUCUCGUGACUUACAAAAUGGAGCGGUUUAUUUCAGGGUGUGGGGUGGUCGUGUAUGGGGUGAGGGUCUUAGCCGAAUGUGACAGUGUGCCUGACAGGGAGAGGAGCAAGGACACCAUGCAGACAAUAGGCCUGGGCCAGCGCAGACCAGACUUUUGCUGUGGGAGGCAGAGGAAGGGCCGAGAGUUGCUGUUAGAGCACAGGUCCACCAGAGGGCGCCAGAGCCCAGCAGAGCCCCCUGCAGCUCCCUGUUUGCGCGUCCAGGCUCAGUGGGGAGUGGAGAUGGACGCAUGGAACCUCAAGGAGGUGCCCAGAGCCUGGUGUGUUUGUUCAGGGUGCCUCUGACCCAGUGGCCCAGAUAGCCUCAACUCAAACGAGGGGACAGUGUUGUGCUACCGCGUGUCUAAUUCAAUUCCUGUCUGGUCGGGUGGCCCCAAGAUGAGGGAGAGAGACAGGCUGUCUGUGGUCUGAGUGUCCUUUGCUUGUUGGCAGGCAGACCUCUGGACCCAGAAACACCUGGCUUGAAUACUGGAGGUAUAGAUUUCUAGAAUCAGCAUGGCGGGGGGGUUGUCUCCUGGGAAGCUGGGCUUCAGGUCAUGAAUGGGGUGUGUCCGUGCGGUUGUAUUUGGGGGCUGGGGUGGACUAUGCUCAUGGCGGGCUCUGUCCAUCAGAAGGAGCCAGAGUAACUGGAGAGCCCCUCCCCACCAACACCUCUCCCCCCUUGUAGCACUGUGGCUGCGUCGCCAGGCUCAGACACGGGGUGCAAAAUGAUUGGUGGCCCAAUGUGCCUCAACUCAGAGAUGAUCCAGAUUCCACCAUCACGUCUUGGGUUCAUUCUCUGCAUGAGCGGGUAGCCCAAUGGCUAGAGAGUUUGAUAGGCGGCCUGGGGCCUGCGUGCCCUUUGCUUGUUUGAAGUACAACACUGGACCCAGAAAUCCCUGGCUUCGAUAUUGGGUAUGCAGUGGUUUAGCAUCAGGCUGGUGUGAUAAUUUGGCUUUAGGAGAUCUGGGCUUUGGGUCAUGAAUAUAACACAUCAGGCCACGGGUAUUGUGGGAGUGGGUCUCAGCCUCUCCCUGUGCCUUUCUCUCUAGAUAUCGCCACCUCCUCCUUCCUCCUGCUCCACCUGAGCCUCUGCUUCCUCUGCGGAGAACCUUGUGCCCAGGAAUCCACCUAAAUCCAGGAGACACCAGACACAUGGAUGCUGCCUGAAACAGGGUAAUGCAUAUAAAGCCUGGGUCAUCCAUGGAAUCAAGCUGGGACCCAGGGCUGAAGGGUGCUGGUUGAUUUGGGGCCUGCUCUCGUGACUUACAAAAUGGAGCGGUUUAUUUCAGGGUGUGGGGUGGUCGUGUAUGGGGUGAGGGUCUUAGCCGAAUGUGACAGUGUGCCUGACAGGGAGAGGAGCAAGGACACCAUGCAGACAAUAGGCCUGGGCCAGCGCAGACCAGACUUUUGCUGUGGGAGGCAGAGGAAGGGCCGAGAGUUGCUGUUAGAGCACAGGUCCACCAGAGGGCGCCAGAGCCCAGCAGAGCCCCCUGCAGCUCCCUGUUUGCGCGUCCAGGCUCAGUGGGGAGUGGAGAUGGACGCAUGGAACCUCAAGGAGGUGCCCAGAGCCUGGUGUGUUUGUUCAGGGUGCCUCUGACCCAGUGGCCCAGAUAGCCUCAACUCAAACGAGGGGACAGUGUUGUGCUACCACGUGUCUAAUUCAAUUCCUGUCUGGUCGGGUGGCCCCAAGAUGAGGGAGAGAGACAGGCUGUCUGUGGUCUGAGUGUCCUUUGCUUGUUGGCAGGCAGACCUCUGGACCCAGAAACACCUGGCUUGAAUACUGGAGGUAUAGAUUUCUAGAAUCAGCAUGGCGGGGGGGUUGUCUCCUGGGAAGCUGGGCUUCAGGUCAUGAAUGGGGUGUGUCCGUGCGGUUGUAUUUGGGGGCUGGGGUGGACUAUGCUCAUGGCGGGCUCUGUCCAUCAGAAGGAGCCAGAGUAACUGGAGAGCCCCUCCCCACCAACACCUCUCCCCCCUUGUAGCACUGUGGCUGCGUCGCCAGGCUCAGACACGGGGUGCAAAAUGAUUGGUGGCCCAAUGUGCCUCAACUCAGAGAUGAUCCAGAUUCCACCAUCACGUCUUGGGUUCAUUCUCUGCAUGAGCGGGUAGCCCAAUGGCUAGAGAGUUUGAUAGGCGGCCUGGGGCCUGCGUGCCCUUUGCUUGUUUGAAGUACAACACUGGACCCAGAAAUCCCUGGCUUCGAUAUUGGGUAUGCAGUGGUUUAGCAUCAGGCUGGUGUGAUAAUUUGGCUUUAGGAGAUCUGGGCUUUGGGUCAUGAAUAUAACACAUCAGGCCACGGGUAUUGUGGGAGUGGGUCUCAGCCUCUCCCUGUGCCUUUCUCUCUAGAUAUCGCCACCUCCUCCUUCCUCCUGCUCCACCUGAGCCUCUGCUUCCUCUGCGGAGAACCUUGUGCCCAGGAAUCCACCUAAAUCCAGGGAUCUCUACAAGCUCCCUCUUCCCUCUGCACCCGAGCCGCUUCAGCCUCAGCAGGACACGCAUUCGAAGGAACCUGUCUACAUCCAUGAAAGCUUUUUCUUCCCUCCCACCUGAGCCUCUUUCUGUGCUGCCAGAACCUGUUGCAAGGAAGAUACUUCAAACAGAGGUCUCCGCAGCCUCUGUCUUCCCUCUGUAGCUGAGCUGCUUCUGCCUCUGCAGGACUCCACUUGAAGGAAGCUGUCUAAAUCCAUGUAAGAGAUCUCCUCGUAUUUUUUUCCCUCCCCCCUGAGGCUCUUCCUCCUCACCAGACACCUGUUCCAAGGAAGCUCCUGCAACAAGGGUGUGGGCUUGUGUCGUGAAGGUUGAGUAUCCAGAGUGACAGUGAAGAAUCCAUACUCCCACCCAAGAGUGGAUUUCAGUGUGCCUGAGAGGAAGAAGAGGAAGACAUCCUGCUGGCAUGUGCCCCAGGUCAGUGCAGACCAGAGUUUUGCUGUGGGAGGCAGAGGAAGGGCUGAGAGUUAUUAGAGCACAUGUCCACCAGAGGGCACCAGAGCCCCUCAUCGCCUCUGCAGCUCCCUGUUUGUAUCUCCAGGCUCAGAAGGGGUUGGAAGAGGGACCCAUGGAACCUCAGGGAGGGGCCCAGAGCCCGGUGUUGGUUUGCAUGGUGCCUCUGACACUGUGGCCCCAUUUGCCUCAAUGCAGGGAGGGGACAGAUUUCUGCCAUUAAAUAUCUAAUUCAGUUCCUAUCUGGCUGGGUGGCCCCAAGUUUAGGGAGUUUGAUAGGCUCUUGGUCUGUGUGUCCUUUACUUGUUUGGAAGCAGAACUCUGGACCCAGAAACACCUGGCUUCAAUGGUGGAUGUUCAGUUUUCUAGAAUCAGCCUGGUGGGGAGUUCGGCUUCUGGAAAGCUGGGCUUCGGUGAUGAAUGGGGUGUGUCUGUGCUGUUGUAUUUCAGGGGUGGGGUGGGCUAUGCACAUGGCUGAGCUCUUUUUCUCCAGAGAUGCCCACAACCUUCAUAUUUCCACUGCCCCUGAGCCACUUCCACCUCUGCGUGACACCCUUUGAAGGAAGCUCUCUCCAUCCAUGUAAGGUGAAUCACGGCUGGGUUGUUUAGUGUUCCAAGGUGAGUCCUGGAUAGGUAGGCUGCUCAUUCAAACCUGCUGGCCUGACUUACAUAGGAGGUUGCUGAUUUUAGGGAGUGGAUAAAUGUGGGCGGGGUGAGGGGCCUGGCUGACGUGAGACAGUCCCUCCCCACCCGUCAUGCAUCUGAGUGUGCUGAGAGGGAGAGCAGUAAGAAAGCCACCUGACAGCUGCCCCAGGCCCGGGCAGAGCAGGGUUCCUCUGUGGGAGGCAGAGGAAGGGCUGAGACUUGCUGUGAGGGCCUCUGUCCACCAGCCUGAGCCGGAGCAACAGCAGAGCUUCCCCUGACCCCCGCCUACUCUCACCACCGUGGCCACAUCACCAGGCUCAGAUUCAGAGAGCAAAGGGCUUGGGGGAGGCCCAAGGAGGUACUUGGGUACUUGGUGCCUCCUAUACUGUUGCCCAAUGUGCUUCGACUCAGAGGAGGAUUAAGGUUCUGCCCCACAUUUCAGGUUCAAUCUGUGCAUGAUCAGGUGGCCCAAUGGCUGGAGAGUUUGACAGGUGGUCUCGGGCCUGAGUGCCCUUUGCUGGUUUGAAGCACAUUGCUGGACCCAGAAACCCCUGCCUUAAAUCUUGGGCGUGCGGAGUUGUAAAUCAGCCUGGGGUGAAAUUUGGCUUCUGGAAAGCUGGGCUUUUGGUCAUGAAUGCAGUGCAUUAAUGUGGUGGUGCUGUGGGGGCAGGUCUCAGCCUCUCCCUGUGCCUUUCUCUCUAGAGAUCUCUACCUCCUCCUUCCUCCUGUUCCUCCUCUGUGGGGGAGCCUGUCAAGGAACCUACCUCAAUUCAGGGAGUGUGAAUGACGCCUGGGAGGUCCUGGAUCUCAAGCCAGGUACAGGGUUGCGGGGUGCUGAUGGAGGGCCACCUGGUUCCAUUAACUUACCAAGGUGUCUGAUUUCAGGGAGCGGGGUGGUCUCAGUUGGGCUGAGGGCCCUGGCUGACUCUGAGAUAGUCCCCCCAUCAUGCCUUUCAGUGUGCUGUGAGGGAGAGGACUUAGGAAACCAGGCUGGCAAGGGGCCCAGGCCUCUGCCUGGAGUGCAGACCAGGCUUCUGCUGUGGGAGGCAGAGGGAGGCCUGAGAGUGUUAGAGCAGAUGGCCACCAGAUGGCGCCAUAGCACCAGAGUGCCCCCUGCUGCAUCGCCUGGACUUCACCUUCAGGCCCCCAGGCAAGAUUGGAGAUGGGUCUUGGUCCAGUGGCCCAAUGGCUAGAGAGUUUGACAGGCUAACUCAGGUCCGAUUCCCGUUGGUAGUUUGGAGGCACAACUCUGGACCCAGAAAUACCAGGCUUGGAUUUUGGCCCUACAAUUUGCUGGACUCAGGCUGGUCCAUGUAGAAUGUACUUCCAGAAAGGUGGCCUUCUGGUUGUGAAGGCGCCGUGUCAGCACAGUGGUUUCGGGCGCAGACUGUGCUCAUACCUAUGCUCUUUCUCUCCAGAGAUCUCAAGCUUUUCCUUCCCUCCCACCUGAUCCUCUCCCUCCUCCGCCAGACACCUGCUGCAGGGAGGUCCUAAAACCAGGUAACUUUUACAAAGGCUGCAUGGUCCUUGGGUUCAUGCUGGGUCCUAGGCUUGAAGGGUGCUGACUGAUCAGGGGCUGCUCAUAGGACUUACCAAGUGGGGUUGUUGAUUUCAGGGUGUGGGGUGAGUUCCGGCUCUGAGAUUGUCACACCCCAGCCCGUAGCGUGUUUCUGGGCGCUGAAAGGGAGAGGAGGAAGGAAAUCACACUGGCAGUGCCCCCGGGCCCUGCAGAGCGGACUUCUGACGUGGGAGGCUGUCAGGGCUCCGAGUUGCUGUUAGAGCAGCACAUUCUGGUCAAAGGGCUCUGGAGAACCCCGGAGACCCUCCACUCCUUCAGGCUGAAAUACAUGGUUGCCGAUUGUAUGACGAGACCCCAUGGAAGUGCUCGGGGCUGAGAUGGGGUUACAGGGCGCCUCUUAUCAUCUGGCCAAUUUCUUUCACCUCAGGAUACUGGCAUAAUUGCUCACACAUCUUUGGUUCAAAUUCAGCGUGUUUCUCUGAUAAAUGACCAGAAAAUUUGACAGGGCUGACAUCACGCCCUCUCCUCUUGGGUGUUCAGUUCGCUGAGAGGAAGGGGCAGAGGACACUCACGCCGGUCUGUGCCCAAGACCAGUGCUUCAAACGUCAAAGCCCCAUCUUUAGCCCUGGUGUUUCUGGACCCAAGGG
This is a non-coding RNA of Sus scrofa (pig), 7836 nucleotides long. Lineage: Eukaryota; Metazoa; Chordata; Mammalia; Artiodactyla; Suidae. The record is from RefSeq and is a predicted model, not a curated record.